This 183-nucleotide ribosomal RNA is filed under the name Bacillus anthracis (anthrax bacterium). RNAcentral's name for it is "partial 16S ribosomal RNA". It matches the Rfam family "Bacterial small subunit ribosomal RNA", at positions 1 to 176 of the family's 1533-position model. RNAcentral also lists the same sequence under 20 other names. Lineage: Bacteria; Bacillati; Bacillota; Bacilli; Caryophanales; Bacillaceae. The record is from RNAcentral.
CUUUAUUGGAGAGUUUGAUCCUGGCUCAGGAUGAACGCUGGCGGCGUGCCUAAUACAUGCAAGUCGAGCGAAUGGAUUAAGAGCUUGCUCUUAUGAAGUUAGCGGCGGACGGGUGAGUAACACGUGGGUAACCUGCCCAUAAGACUGGGAUAACUCCGGGAAACCGGGGCUAAUACCGGAUAA